UGUUUGUUGAUCAAGUGGGAACCCCCUGAUUUGAAGUUGCACUCAGUUCCACCAGUCACACUCAUCUUCCCUGCUUUUGACGGGGAAACAGGCGGCAGUACUGUGCUGUAGGAAGAGAGCAAUGAUAGCAGAAAGAGGAAGCAGCGUGUUUUCAGCAGCUUUGAUUUCAUCGUUUCUCUGUUCAGUUCACCUAAGUAAUGAUGUAUUUCGUGGAGCACUUCUUUCUUGAAAUGGUGGCGACUGGACUUUGACAGGAAAUUUUCUGAGUCACUGCAUCAUGAGGCCUAACCAUUGCUGGACUGCUUUUCAUGUAUCCGUCUUGGCAGUCCUUUCUCUCACCGUGAACGCUGACACACUUGAAGACUCUGAGUGUGCUGCAGUUGAAGUACGACGACACACAGCGUACAACGUCUCUCGUGGACAAGAGCUCAGGAUUAUAUGUCCAUUUACUUUCUGCAACGACACACCACCAAAAGUCUCCUGGAAUAAAAUUGAAGGAAGUCUCCCUUUUAAUCUCAGCAAGAAAGGCCGCAUUAAAACUGAGUGGAAAAUGUUAGAACAGUUUAAAGGGGAAGCAUAUCUGAUUUUUAAGAACAUACUUUAUGAUGAUGCAGGUGUGUAUCGAUGUGAGCUUCCAGGCAAUGUUGGUCAUGGUAUCACCGUCUAUGUUUCUGAUCAAGAUGAAAGUUCCAGUGUUACACAAAUAAGUGACACAACAAAAAAAGAGAGCCCAAAUCCUGAUAAAGUCCAAGAAAAUAUAUUGAUAUACGUGUACUGUGCUGCUGGGAUCACCUCAUUUGUCAUCAUAGUGAUAAUUAUAUCUAUAAUAGCUAUGAAAGGGUGUAAAGGAAAAUCAAAUAAAGAAGCAAAGUCUGAAAAUCAUUACAUGUCAAUGCCCAUGGUUGAGCAACCUGUCAACCUCCGUCUCUCGCCAAGAGCAAGCCCCCAUGUGCCGCCAUCUCGGAGGUCUACCCAGAGGAAGUUGCCAUCAAGGCCGCCUGAUGAGUUGAGAUCAUCAAGAGAAGAUGAGGAGCUUUAUAAUCAGACAGAAGAGGACAGAAAUAGACUAAGACAAGAGGAGGAGAGUGGUUCUGUUGUGUAUGCUGCUCUCAACCAUGAGUUGCCACAGAGGCUACCAGCUCGACGACCGAGGCCAGUGGAGGAGCAAUCAGAGUACGCAGCUAUACGAGUUAAAUAAAAAAUUAAAUCCUGUUGGACUAAAUUACACUAGAGGACCACAUAUGAACAUUUCAAUGUGGUGGAUUUCCUCCAGAUGAACUGUGGGUAAUUUUUUUUUUUUUUUUAAACAGUUUUGUAAACACUGCUCUUUUGCCACAACAUGGAUGUACUCAAAGUAUAUGAUUCAACAUAAGAGGCCCAAACUAGAACUGAUGUGAUCCGUGUGGUUUCUGCUCUGUUUCAGUUUUGAAUGUAAAAGGUUUUACUUCCAAUUUGGGUUUAGUUUCCCAUACUUAGUGCUAUCUUACAAGCAGUAUACCACAGUGGCUUAAUGAAAUUAAGUCAUAGGUAAACAUGUUAGUUCCCAACCCCCACACGCUUUAGGUAUGAAAAAGAGUGAUGUAAAAAUCAAACACAAUCACUAGUUCAUGAUGACUAACAAUGACCACAAUCUGCAUGUUUUACAUUCACUUUUGAAAUUUACUACUUUCCAAACUUAAACUGACACAACACGAUGUGGGCAAUUAAUUAAAGUAAUGAGUAAUAUCUUUAAAAAAAAAAAUCUCUGGCUCUUUUAUGUUUGUGUUAGAGCUGUCAUCGUUUCCAUCACGUGUCUCAGGCAAACUUGUGAAAAAAAUGCACCAAAAGUAGAAUUUUCAUAAUGUGAAAGAUAUUUUCCAAACAUGUGACAUGCUUGAAUGAAUGGGGAGACUGAUCACCUUCAAUGAAGUGAGAACUUUUUUCCACUAUAUUUGUUAACUGAUUAGUUAGAAUAUAUUUAGUUAACUUUUCUCAUUUGAAUCUCUUCCCUUCUUUAGCUCUUUAAGCUCAAGACAAGUAAUGUGCUUCUGUUAGCGCUAACAUGUCACAAGCAUAAACUAAGCCAUAAAAAACCAAACAAAUAUUUACUUUUACAGUAUAAAUCUGCAUUUAAUUAAUAAAUGUAAUUUGAUUUAACUAGAAACAUUGGUACUUUGAAAUUAACUGCAAGAAUUUGUAAAUGAUUAGAGGUUGCUAGCACAGUUAGCUCAGUUAGCUUGCGUGUCAGUUAGCUCAACUUCAAAAACUCACAAAAGCCAUUUCACAUGUUAAAUUAUAAAGCUGCCAAUAUUGUGUUUUUUGUAUUCUUGACAAAUCCCUUGACAGAACAAAGCCCCACAAUGAUUCAAACCUUGAACCUACAAAACCUUUAAAACAUAGUAGUUAUACAAUUUUAGUGACAUGCUCCACCAUAAGAAUAAACAUGUGUGCUGCUGUGUAAUUGUAAUGUUUUGUUGACAUAAAUUCUAACUAUAAUACCAAAUAUGUACUAUUGCUGAAAAUAUUCCAUAAGAAAUGUGCCUUUUUCAUUUCUGUUUGAACUGUUUUGCCAAAAACUACAAGUCCCAGCUGUUCUAGAAAGCUACUAGCCUUUUAGUCAAAUAAAUAAAAUUGUAUUUGUGACAAGUUUAUAAAGAGUCAUAUGUUCUGCCUAAAUGGGUGGACUCAGAGUCAGUGACAGACCAAAACUGUUCUGUAUUUAUAUUUGUAGUUAUGAAAUUUUCAUUCAGCCUUACUUAUCCUCUAAAACAAGGCUGGACAAAGAACUGAAAUCAUCCUACAACUUUCUUACACUGUACAAAUGAGAGGUCAUUACUUAACUAUUUUUUUGUGAAUAGUUUUUGUUGUUGUGAAUGUUUUGUUGCGUUCUACAUAAUGGGCAAAAACUGUGAUGUUGUGCCGUUGCACAUCUGUGACUUGAACUUUUUCUUGAAAAACUUUACAUCUGAUUUCAGUGGUGGUUUAAUGUAUACCUGUAACAGAUCUGCUGUUGACUCAUUUUCCGAUUUUAUGAAUGACUGAUGAAAAAGGAGAAUGUAAUAUUAAUCACUGUGUGCAAUCAAAAUUUAAUGAGCAUCUAUAACUGUUUAAUUAUAAUAAGCUGUCUCUUGUGUUGCUUUCCUGCUAAACAAAAUACUUUAAUGGAAGUAGAAGUGUUAAAAAUUCUCCAGUGUGUUGAAAAUGUAUCUUGUAGUUCAGUGAUUAGUAUGUUGAGUGAGUUAGACCAAACAGGAUGUGUAAUAGCAGUAAAAACCUACCAAAGCCCCCUAUACAGUUAUAAAAAAAAGAAAAAAAAAAAAAAAAAAAAAAAACAGGAAGUAGCCAACCACACUUAGACAUAAAAUGACAUACAGAGCACACACAGGUUGAACAGAGGUGAAUGGUAACUUAUGUACUGAACAUGAAACUUUACAGCUGCCAAGUCUGUUUUCUUGUCCUGAUCUCAGCCGUACUCAUCUGCACUCUGGAUGCCGAUACACUUGAAGACUCUGAGUGUGAUGCAAUUGAAGUACGACGACACACAGCGCACAACGUCUCUCGUGGACAAGAGCUCAGGAUUAAAUGUCCAGUUAUUUUCUGCCACGACACACCACCAAAAGUCUCCUGGAGUAAAAUUGAAGGAACUCUCCCUUUUAAUCUCAGCAAGAAAGGCCGCAUUAAAACAGAGUGGAAAAUGUUAGGACCAUUUAAAGGGGCAGCAUAUCUGAUUUUCAAGAACAUACUUUAUGAUGAUGCAGGUGUGUAUCGAUGUGAGCUUCUAGGCAUUGUUAGUCAUGGUAUCACCGUCUAUGUUUUUGGUGAGUAACUUUUAAAUUACUCAAAAAAGUAACUGCUUUAUUGUUGUUGACUGUGAAAAUUUCUAAGUGCUACUGAGAAAAAAGUCAAUGACUUAGAUCAAUUACUCUCAUUCUCAUUCCAAUGCUUGUAUAAACACUGUAUGCACACUUUCCUUGCAACUUAUUGAUGACAACAAAUUUGCCCAACCGGAAUUUACAGAAUAUUUAUCACCUUAUCAAAGCAAUGGGAAUGUUUAUAGAUGAUAAUGCUUUUCAGGUCACGCUGAGCUGUCCACAGUUACGACUUUGACUUCUCCGAUGUUAGAACAGCAGACAACUCUGACAUCAGGUUUGAAAGAUUAAUUCACUCACACAAAAACAAAAAAAGAAAAGAAAAACCUGUGUCCUUAUGCAGCACUGAUGUGUGCUGCAUCACAACCAAGACAAAAGCAUGGUUAUUUUUUUUUUUUUUACUUUUUCUGUAGUUUGUAAACAAUUAUGUUUUGGCAUUUUCUAGAUUUACUAGAUAAUGGACACUCGGAUCUAAAACUUCAAGAUUGAAAAGCCUUUUCCCAUGAGCAGUCAAAACCAUCAUCUAAAGCAUUAACCUUGUCUUCACCUCGUCUUAUUACGGUGUUUGUGCAAAUCUGUGGAGAAAGUGUGGGUGUAAAUCCAUCUCACCAUGAAAACUUUGAUGGGCUUUGCAUCGCCUACUGACACAAAGCCCAUCUGAGACAAUGAAGGGAGGAGAGUCGUCCACAGAGGAUGUGGUUAAGCUACAAAAACGUUCAAAUUUCCAGCUUAAACACUGAUUUAAACUGACAUGUCUUUCUUUUUCUUUUUCACCUUACAGAAAUCCCAUCAGCUCAGUACACUUUCUGGCAUUAUAUGUACCGUAUUUUUGGAAUCUUGGCAUUUGUCUUUAUAGUGAGCGCUGUCUGUGGUGUUUAUAAGCUCUGGUAUAAAGGAAAAGCAAAGAGCUCAUCACAUCCAAGUCUCCA
RNA transcript from Melanotaenia boesemani (Boeseman's rainbowfish), 4777 nucleotides. It is a transcript of the gene named B- and T-lymphocyte attenuator-like, with no coding region annotated. The record is from RefSeq and is a predicted model, not a curated record. NCBI's taxonomy places the organism in Eukaryota, Metazoa, Chordata, Actinopteri, Atheriniformes, Melanotaeniidae. The transcript is spliced from 8 exons.